Topomyia yanbarensis is the source of this 5123-nucleotide long non-coding RNA. RefSeq lists it as uncharacterized. The record is from RefSeq and is a predicted model, not a curated record. The transcript has 3 exons. Lineage: Eukaryota; Metazoa; Arthropoda; Insecta; Diptera; Culicidae.
AACCAUGCUGCGUGUAGAGUGAGUUUAUAUGCUGUACGCUUUUUUUGUCCUAUCGUGGUAAUCAUGCUGAUUCCUUCUAAGAUAUCGUUAGUGGAAGAUAUAAAAUAGGGAAGGAACAACAGCAGCAGUAGGAUCGAUGAUGAAGAAGAAAAAAAAGGUUAUGAAAUAACAUGCGCGAAGCCGUGCGAGGAACAUGCAAAAAUUGUAGGGGGGAAAUCCUGUCGAUGCCGGAGCGGGUGGUAGGGGGUGUACCGCAGCAGGCUAGAUGACAAAUGUAGUGCCAGUCCGGGUGCCAGUUCAUCACCAGAAGUCCUUGCGAAACGAAUCGCGCGGGAUUCUCGGCCGAUGGAAGCGAAAAGUAGUCAAAAGUGUGUGUGUGAAUCGAAAUCAAGCGAAGGGAAAUCGCUGCAGGAAGUUAAAUUAGUGACAAUUAUGGAAAGCAUCUCUUUGGCGCGUCGGUGGCCGAAGACGUGCUGUGUGCAUAAAGAGGUGAUUUUUUUAUUGAGCUGACUUUUCGAACAGUGGCGCCAUUUGCCGUCUGCGGGAAACAUGACGGGAAAUAAGAGAUGCGUUGUUUGCUACCCGGCUGCCAUCCAGUGGGGAAAGUUGGAACCCCAGGCGGAGUGAGACUUUGAUAAGUGACCGUGUCUUAUCUGAGGUCGAGAGACGAAGGAACAACAUCCAGUGGAAGCUGGAGUGUAGAUACUAUGUAGUCCCUCUCACUGUCCCGUGAUAGGGUCUCGAACUGUUCCGAAGUGAAAGCGAGUGUUUUUGUGUGUGCUGAUAUGAUUCAUGGUUGCAGCGUAGGACGGUCAUCGGUCGGUUUGCUCGGGACGGCGCGUGUGAGUGGUUUUCCUGUGAAAUGCUAUCACUGAUAACGAAAUUCGAUGGGAGAGGACGGGCGACAGACGGCUGUAGUGCGGGUCCCUCCCCCUCCCUAUCACCAUCCUGGCUCUGAUGGAAGAGUCCAACACAGUAGUGGAGGCUCGAUAAGACAACGACAGCCGGUUCUCGCAUUCGACAUGUGAACGACUUGUUAAUAUGACAGUUCAGUACACAGACGUGAUGAGCAAUAGGAGCGAGUGGAGGAACAAAUAAAACAGACUUUCGCGCCGUGUAGACGGUUUUCCAGUGGAGCAAACCUGUGCCGAUUCCGAACUCGUUAACCGAAGCCCCUCUCAGCAGAAGUGGAAACGAGCGCCUGGCUGUGUGGUGGAGCCUUUCGUGCAGUCAACAUAGUUUUUGCUCCGACAGUUGCUCGGUGGAGCGCAGCAAGUGCGGACUGCGGUAUUAGCAGUAACAACAACAACACCGUCAUCAUCAUCAUCAUCAUCAUUCGGUAUUGGCGUCAUCGGUAGUAGAGAAGUAAAAAGUAGUGUUUGAACAACGAAUUAGAGAAGAGUUUGUCGACGAACCGAAGAAAAAAAAAGUAAUCACAAGACACGAGCAAGUGAAAACAACGCCAACCGCCUGUGGUGUAGUGGAACUUCGAAGUUUCCUCUGUAACUGACAAUCAAAGUGAUCCUUGCAAACAGUUUGAGAAUAAAAACCAAUCAGUGAUACCAAGUGACCGUCCACCCUUUGGGAUUAUCCAAUUGUUAAAUCGUCCAAGUGUAUCAAGAUCCAGUAGAUUCCAGUAAAAUGCGAGCGAACCUGUCAAACGAUAGUCACAACGUCCACUCCAUCUCCAUCGAUGUCACCGCUUUCCCCUUCAGGUGAGUGUCAACAAAAACAUUACAUUGUAGCCAAACUUCGACCCGGCAGGUUAACGGGUGCAAUCCAUCACAUAAACUGAUGGAUCGGUUGUCCAAUGUUGACGUCACGAUUCUCAUCACCAUCUGCGGUAGGAACCGCGGAAUCGCCUGCACGGCCUGCACCGCUGCUGGUACAGUCAGUCGCCCGUCAUAUUUAACCUUUCCGCAGCACGCACGUUUGACGUUUUGCUAUAGCGCGUCGGUGAUCGGAUCCGCAUCAUCACGUGUCAAACCGGGCCAUUCGAUACACCCGGUUAUUGCUACACUGACUGACUGUACGCAAACCAUCAUUACCAUGUUGUUGUUUUUUUUUCUUCUGCCGAUUGAUCGUCAUUGCCAGCCAGCCGCACUGUCAACUCGACUGGGCUUCUUGGCUCAACCCCAUAAUUAUGAAUCGAAACCCACGGAGUUCGUGUCCGGAAGGUUUUCUGCCGCUCUAACCACGACGAGCAACGGCCGGCAGAAAAGUGCUCCAGCAAGACAGAAAUUCAAUCCAUCCUUUUGUCCUGGGCGAUAGCUGUCAAAAUUGCGGUGUAUCUGUCAGUGCCAGAAUGGAGAGGAUCCAACGUUGAGGUUAUGUUACACAGAUGCACGCUCGCGCUUGUGCGUGUAUGUGUGGUGCCGCGGGUUCAGUGGCCGGGGUUUGCGUCGUCGUCGGUCGUGGCGAAGAAAAUAUGAUGAUGAAUUUUAAAUAUUUUAAACUCGACACGACAUUCUGACCGAACUCGGAGCAUGAGCGGAAAAGCAAAGGCACAAAAUUGCUGCCUCGGCGACGACGACGACGGCUCAAAAGUGCAAUUUUCUGCGCGAAGGCAAAACCAGUAGCAAUAUUUUAUGGAUUUCCAUGUAGUUUUAUUUUGUUUUUUUUUUGCGCGCGAUUUGACUCUUCUUCUUCUUGCGCGCAGUCGUCGUGAUCUGACAUCUAGGUCAGAGUCUCUUCGCGACGAGGUAGGUGCGAUUAUACAUGGACAAUUUCGCGAUUUGUGCACGGUUGCAGUUUUUGCGUGAAAUGUAGCGCGACCGCGGCUACUGAAGUGCGAUCACGUCAGAUCUCGAUCCAUAUUUACAACCCGUGAGCCGGUCGGUUGGUCGGUUGGUCGCGAUUGAACGUCUGCUGUAUGGCGAUCCGAUUCAAUGACUUUUGCUAUAGUAGCUAUCAGACGCGAACCUGUUGCAAUCCGAUUCCCAUCCCAUCGUACAGUCCACACGGCAGAAGCUUUACCCCCUUUCGAUGCUCGAAUUACCGCGGCCAUGUUCGACGCACGUAACGCCGGUGGGUAAAACGUGUUUAUUAUAAAACCAUUGCCAGCGAAAUUAUAUGCAUCCAUGACGCGGUCGAACGCGGAAUCGGACCGAAAAAAAAAUUGUGGCCAGCGGGACUGGCCGCUCAGUGCACUAUUUUGUUGGAAGGAAGGUGGCAAUUUUUGGCUGCGAGAUUAUGAAUUAGCUCACGCUAAGGUGGCCAACGUUUUGCUUUUUUUGGGAACAGUUCGGUGUCAAUUUUCUCACCGUCCAGUUUUGGUGCAAAUAAUGCCACCUGUAAGGUACUUCAAAUAAUUAAAUUUGACGUUUUUAAUGCAGGACGCUUCAUUGUAUGAGCCCUUGAUUUAUGAUGAAGCGUGACGUGAACUAGUGAUAGUCGAUUUUUUUCGCAUGAAAGAUCGUUCGAGUGCGUGAAGAAUGAUGACGUUAUUCUCUUUCUGUUGAACAUAACCCAUUUUAUUGGGGGCGUUCCGAACGCUCCAAAAGACGCUGAUUUGUGAUUAAUGAUUCCUGAUGUUAACGCUGGAAGCUGAUCGACGGCUUGGAGCCGCUGUCUGUAAGCGGUUCGGUGCAAUGGUGACUCAUCUGGACAGACAGGUUGAUAAUUUUGACUUUUAGCUUCGUUGUAGGUGAUAAAAUUUUGAUUAUCAUUUUGUUGAAUUUUGUGUGUCAUCUACUCGCUAAAUUGGACUGAGGAGAAUAAUUCUCUCAUAAAAACGAUAAUCUAAUUUCGAAAAACUGCUGAACUUUUUAAUUAAGGCUAGGUAAAUGAAGUUAAUUGGUUGGCUACUACAAAUUGCUUGCCAAAUAAAAUAUAUUUAUUAUUGUUGAAGGGCGUCAUUCUAAAAUUUGUAAAUCAGAGCUCACUACGAAAUUGUGACAUCAUUUUAAGAGAUUAUCGCUUAAAAUAAUAUUCAUUGAUGGAUUGUCAUCAUGGAACAAUAAAUCGUUUCCAAAACCUCCAAGUUAAAAAUCCAAGUUCAAAAGAAUUACAUUUGUGAACUCUUAGCAAUUCUGAAGGAUAAAAUGAAAUUUCGAAUGAACUAUGCGGGUUUCCUUGCACGCCUAACGCACACGUAUCAUUUCUCGAUAACACACAGCUAGCGAGUGCAGGGUCUGCCCCGAAAUCGACGAUCUCUUCCAGGUUCUCUGCUGAACAUAACAUUAGCUGGUCACUCUUCCGGCAUUCGCGCUAUUUGUCUAGCGCACAGUAGUCUACCGGGCUUUUUUAGCCGUGCAGAAUAACAGGGAGUUUCAGCGAUUUCGAUUGAACAAGUUUUUUGUGCGUCUGUAGGCUUGCGAAUUUUAGUUGACUACGCUAACCAUAAAAAGUCCCGUUCGCAUCGGCAACACGCCUUUCCACCUUAGAACCAAUACCGUUCGGAACAAGCUACCAUAUGCUUGAUGCUGGGACAUUAGGCCGAACUUAAUUCGACAUGAACAUUAGGCCGAAUGGAAAAUAGGCCGAAUGGACGUUAGGCUGAAUAGACAGUCGGCAGAAUGUACAUUAGGCCGAAUGGGCAUUAGUUCGAAGGCCAAGAAUCCGAAUGUUUAACAGUGAGGGCGAACAGAAAUCGAAGCUUAUUCUGCUGAGCUUUCGGGCAAUUUCGGUCAUUAUUUGCUUUGCUUGCUGCACAAUUAUUUGCUCACUUCCUCAUUUUUAUCAUGAGCUAGUCGUCUAAAAUGUAGUUCCCUCAAUAGUGCACUAGCUUCGAACUGUCUGCAUGAAUACAUCUAGCUACAUCGACUAAAAUGUUGAACACAACUAUUUUUUAAUCCCAUUUAUAAUUAGUAAUACGAGAAUACCAAAAUAUUAAAGUCUACGUAGACUUGCAAAUAGACCCCACUCUUCCCCAUCUUUGACAAACGUAGACUUUUGCUAGAGUCCCCUGUCCCCCAUGAGUUACGUGGUUUAUGAACGGCCCUUAUGCAGCGAAAACGAUGACGAAAGUAUGCUUAACAUCUAGUUUUAAAAUUCAAAAAAUCGCAAAAAUUCACCCUACAUUUACAACGAACCGUUGUUUUAAAUCUUGUGUUCAGUUUCGACUACUCUAUUUGGUUCUCUCUUUGUUUCAAGGCUAAUAGGCUUAGUUACGAUUCGGCUUA